Anopheles gambiae (African malaria mosquito) is the source of this 687-nucleotide long non-coding RNA. RefSeq lists it as uncharacterized. NCBI's taxonomy places the organism in Eukaryota, Metazoa, Arthropoda, Insecta, Diptera, Culicidae. The record is from RefSeq and is a predicted model, not a curated record. The transcript is spliced from 3 exons.
UUUGUUGCGUUCUCGCUCAUCAGGGUGUUAGUCAAUUCUCUCUUGCCACACGAAGAGAAUUCUCCUGCACACUUCGUGUGUUGGAUUCUACCCAUCCCUGUUGAACACACGUCAUUUUCUUCCAUCGCACUCAUCAGGGUGUUUGCUCUUUUCCAUCCAAGCCAAAGAGCGACUUCAGUGUGCUCUGAACCGUGGAUGUGAGAGUGUGUGUUUGUGUGCUGCGUGAACUAUUUUUCCUGCGUGAAACACUUUCCAUACUGCGCCAUCCGCGGUGUUCUUUCUGCUUCAUCGGAGGACGAAUUUUUAUAAUCUAAUUGUUUGGUUUCAGAUGUGUGCUGCUACCGCUAGCUGUUCCUCAAAAUACUUAAAAAAUGUGACACUGUGUGCACAGGCGUUCAAGUUUCAAUUGAUCCUCAAGCACAAAGCCUUCAUACAACACCGCGGUUGAAGCGCACCAAAUCUGAUGACAUCUUUCCUGAACCAAGCAGGCUGAACACGCGCACCACCACGGGCUCCAGCGCGGUGUGAAGGGGGAAGAAGAAAAGGCAGAAUUGGAAACAGCCGCACCAGGCUUCCAACCACCGUGUGUGUGUAUGUAAGUAUGUGAGAACACAUGUGUGAAUCCUCUUGUGGGAACUGCAAAAAGAAGAGAAUAAAGAGUGUGAAGCAGCUAGACUGCCGCAACCA